RNAcentral lists this ribosomal RNA (245 nucleotides) under uncultured bacterium. RNAcentral describes it as "partial 16S ribosomal RNA". It matches the Rfam family "Bacterial small subunit ribosomal RNA", at positions 524 to 768 of the family's 1533-position model. The record is from RNAcentral.
GACGGAGGAUGCAAGUGUUAUCCGGAAUCACUGGGCGUAAAGCGUCUGUAGGUGGUUCAAUAAGUCAACUGUUAAAUCUUGAGGCUCAACUUCAAAAUCGCAGUCGAAACUAUUGGACUCGAGUAUAGUAGGGGUAAAGGGAAUUUCCAGUGGAGCGGUGAAAUGCGUAGAGAUUGGAAAGAACACCAAUGGCGAAAGCACUUUACUGGGCUAUUACUAACACUCAGAGACGAAAGCUAGGGUAG